Molecule: long non-coding RNA, 473 nt
Organism: Galeopterus variegatus (Sunda flying lemur)
Lineage: Eukaryota; Metazoa; Chordata; Mammalia; Dermoptera; Cynocephalidae
Exons: 3
Source: RefSeq, a predicted model, not a curated record
AAAGAGGCAUGGUUCUAUGAUUGGCUCAGUCUGGGUCUAGUGCCCACCUCCAAACCCACCCUGAGAGUGGAGAGGGAAGAUCAGCUGUGAUGACUGGAAGUGACCAUGAGGACAAGAGCCACAAACUAAGGUUGGCAGAGCAGGAAAACAGAAGACACCUAGGACCUUGGUGGCAUCCUGGAGCUGCUGUACCAGUGCUGUAUUGCCUACAUCUAUACUUCUUGAUAUAUCACUCACUCUGGGGAAACCAGUUGCCAUGUUGUGAGGAGUGGCUACAGGCAAGGAAACAACCACCUGAGGGAAGUUGGAGGCAGAUCCUCCAGCCCCAGUCAAGCCUUCGCAGAACAGCAGCUCCAGCCAACCUCUAGACUGCAACCUCAUGAGAAACUUUCAAUCAGAGACACCCAGCUAAGCUCUUUGAUUCCUGACCCACAGAAAUAAUAAAAUAAUAAAUUUUUGUUGUUUAAAACCAA